CUAGAUUCAUCAAUUCUAGGUUUCUAAGUUUAUUCGAUUUAGUCCAUAUUCUUACAAUUUAGUUUCUAAACCUUAUAUUAAAUAAUUGACAUUUCAAUUAAUCAACUACAAUAGGAAUUAGUUCAUACCCAUUGUAAGUACCCAAAUUUGCCCGAGCCCAACAACCAAAAAUCAAUCCCAAAACAAAACAAAAAUAUUAAAAUCCAAAUCAAAAGGCCAUCAGUCCAAAUAUUACAAAACAGCCCAAAACAAUUACAAUGGCCCAAUACCCAAAAAACCCAAUUCUAAACCCAAACAAACCCAUAACCCAAUACCCAAAUAAAACAAAUCGGGCCCAAGCGGCCCAAGACCAGAUUAUCCACAGAAACCCUAGGGUUUCCACCUUAGCGCCGUAGCCUCUAGCCUCCGUACGCUCCCAUGCACGACCUCCGUACUCCCCAGCGCCGCUCGUGCCUCUACGUCCUCCCCCAUCUGCAUGAAGACAAAAACAGCACAGCACAACAGCAAAAAAGAAAAAAGGAGACAAGAAAAUAUUGUAUUUUUCUUUAUUUUUCUCAUUCGGCUAUAAAGCCAUCUUCUUUUUCAAUUGUAUGGGACGCACACUAAAAUAUACAUAUUGAAUACAACAAAAUCGAAUUAAAAUUAUUGGAAAGGUUAUUCUCGAUCCUUUUUUUUAUGUGUGUUUCUUUCUUUUGAUUUUGCAUGUGGCUCGAAUAUAAGAAAAUAAAAGAACGUUUAUCGUCGUAAAUAGGCCAAUCGAAAUUCUUGUCUCCUUCACCGAAAUCGAAGUUUGGGAUGAGAUUUCUAAGGGCUGAAAUUGAUAGGUCUUGAGUUAAGACUCUAAUCGAAGUGCGCGCAUGUUGAUCUCCAUCGAAUCGUAGUGGUGGCAAUUGAUUUGCUCAAGUUUUGGGAUUAGUCGAAUGGUGGUAAUGGCUUUUAGGGUUCUUUUUACUCUGAUUUCUUUAGAAAGGGAAAGAAAUGGUGGCUGUGUUUCAUUAGGGUUUUG
This 1006-nucleotide long non-coding RNA is filed under the name Gossypium barbadense (sea-island cotton). RNAcentral's name for it is "long non-coding RNA (GBAR_LNC008941)". Lineage: Eukaryota; Viridiplantae; Streptophyta; Magnoliopsida; Malvales; Malvaceae. The record is from RNAcentral.